AUGGCAGAUCCAGUAGCGGAUCCAGCUGCUCUGCCAAUCGUGCCUUGUCCGGAUUGCGGCAGGAACGUGGUGACCUACGUUGCUAGGCGCGGGCAGAACGCCGGUCAGCGUUUCUACAAGUGCCGGAAUCACAACCCUUCAGCGGGCGGAUGCGAUUUAUACAGGUGGCAGCAAGGCUAUGCGGCGCAUCUCGCCAAUCUUGAAGGAGGAGAAGCUGCUGUGGGUCAAAUCGGUCCGGGUCAGAUGCAGGGUGGGCAAGCGGUCCAAGCUCAAGUUGUGCAGGCGCUUCACGGCCAGCCGGUGCAGCAAAAUGGGCCGCCGGAGGCGUCGCAGGCUGCAUCGUUUGCAAGUGCUGUCGCAGGAUAUAUGCUCGCGGCUGCUCCAGUUGCCGGUCGGCAGGGUGUGACAGUCGCCGACGCCGCGUCCAUCAACCUGGUCGUAUCAGUAGCAAACCUGGUAAUUGGGGUGGCAAUUCUGCUGUUGCUUGUGGCAGAUGUUGUCCUGCGCGUGGUUAAUUAG
RNAcentral lists this ribosomal RNA (519 nucleotides) under Triticum aestivum (bread wheat). RNAcentral describes it as "partial small subunit ribosomal RNA". Lineage: Eukaryota; Viridiplantae; Streptophyta; Magnoliopsida; Poales; Poaceae. The record is from RNAcentral.